UUUUGCAUGAUUAUAAAAGCAAUCAUUUUAGUCUGAGGUGUACAUGCAGGACUUUAUUGUUAUUUAGGAAUUCUUCGUUUAUGACCUAGAA
Molecule: small nucleolar RNA, 91 nt
Filed under: Lachancea mirantina
Lineage: Eukaryota; Fungi; Ascomycota; Saccharomycetes; Saccharomycetales; Saccharomycetaceae
Description: Small nucleolar RNA snR57
Rfam family: Small nucleolar RNA snR57
About the family: snR57 is a member of the C/D class of snoRNA which contain the C (UGAUGA) and D (CUGA) box motifs. Most of the members of the box C/D family function in directing site-specific 2'-O-methylation of substrate RNAs.
Source: Rfam by way of RNAcentral